This 75-nucleotide transfer RNA is filed under the name Patescibacteria group bacterium. Its description in RNAcentral is "tRNA-Asn". It matches the Rfam family "tRNA". From Rfam's summary of the family: Transfer RNA (tRNA) molecules are approximately 80 nucleotides in length. Their secondary structure includes four short double-helical elements and three loops (D, anti-codon, and T loops). The record is from RNAcentral.
UCCUGGAUAGCUCAAUGGUAGAGCAACCGGCUGUUAACCGGUAGGUUGUCGGUUCGAGCCCGACUCCAGGAGCCA